Toxotes jaculatrix (banded archerfish) is the source of this 726-nucleotide non-coding RNA. The record is from the annotation of a RefSeq genome assembly. NCBI's taxonomy places the organism in Eukaryota, Metazoa, Chordata, Actinopteri, Toxotidae.
AAGAGACUGUACAAAAACCUGAACACAGAUAUCUGACUCCUCUUCAAAGAGGAGGGAAGUGGUAUUCAAACCACAGCUUCAUAUCAGAUGGAUUCUGCUAAUUCCUCUUUUAUCAGAGUCACUGUGGUUACAGCUGCUACAACAUACAGUGAUAUGAGAGGAGGAACAGGCUGAGGGAGGAGCAACACUGUCAAAGAGCAGGACAGACAACAACUCCCACUGUCAGAUGCAUUCAAUAUCUAAAGCAUACAUAACACAGAUACUGUGUGUAAGAUGCUCUCACUGCUUUACUGUGGAAUGUUUCCUUUGGUUCUCAUCAUACUAAAAGGUGUCAGCUGUGAACAACUGACUCCAGUCAAGGAUGAAGAGUUCAGUUCAGAAGGCAGCUCUGUUACUCUGUCCUACACAUACUCCAAAAAAGCUGCUAGUAAUGAUAAUUUCUUCUGGUAUCGACAACAUCCAGGAAAACCACCACAGUUCCUCAUCUCUCAUCUGGCAUCAGGACAACUAUCAUCAGAUCCAGUCUCUGGACUGACUGUUACUGUGAGUCGGGAUCAAACCCAAAUGGAUCUGCAGAUCUCCUCUGCUGCAGUGACAGACUCUGCUGUGUACUACUGUGCUGUGAGGCCCACAGUGACAGGAAACAGCACAACUCUGUACAAAAACACAAGCUGACUCACUGACAAGCUGCUGGAAGCCUUUUUUCCGACAAAGUGCUGAACUCAA